AAUUGAAUAACCUUUCAAAUGAGCUAACACACGACCCCUAUUCUUAUUUAAAAAAAAAUCAUCGAUUACGUAAUCACGCCCAGAUGGAUGACGUCACUUAUGUGUUAUAUACGCCAAAAUAUCAUAAUUUAAAAAUAAAAAUCGACCUGUUUCGGGGUUUUUCCGUAAAGUCGCCGGUUUACGCAAUAUCGAAUUUAUUCCUUUUAUUUGCACCAUACUGUAUAGUUUGUUCCUUUUGACUGAGUCGUAUCAAGGGCGCCCCCAGGGAGGGGCCAGGUGGGGCCAUCGCCCCCCCUGAGAAUUUGGCGAAAGCGUGUAAAAAAUAUUUAGCUCUCUCUUACUUUAUAUUAUAAAAUAAAUUCCAUAUUAAUCAUAAUCGCUCACGAGAUAUGCCAGUUUAAAUGUAUUUUUUCUCAAUCCCUUAUCCCUUCUGACUGAGACGCAUAUGUUUGGAUGGAACCGCAUCGUUUUCGGUGCGCAUGCCGCAUGCACUGAUGAUGUCCGGUCUAGGCUUAUCCAGUUGAGAAAUGAAAUAGGUGGGCUGAACGGCCGAUCUGAUACGUCUAGUAGUACGGUAGUGCUCACAAUUUAUAUACUGUUAUUCAUAGAACUUAUAUUAACGUGUUAAAAGUGUUUUUUGUGCAACGUCACUCUCAAACGUGUGAAGACCUGGAUAAGGAAUACGAUGUCGAACAAUCGUCUAAGUGGGCUAUGCCUGUUAUCUGUACACAGAAGAAAAAUAAAAGAAAAUAAAGAAAACUUCAUGCAGAAAGUAAUUGAUUUAUUUGCGAUGGACACCAGAAGAAUUCAAUUAUUAUUUAAGUAACAUUUUACUGACACUAACCGUGUUGCGUUUUAAACAGCAAAACAAUUUUUCUUGUA
Diabrotica virgifera virgifera (western corn rootworm) is the source of this 882-nucleotide long non-coding RNA. RefSeq lists it as uncharacterized. The transcript has 2 exons. The record is from RefSeq and is a predicted model, not a curated record. Lineage: Eukaryota; Metazoa; Arthropoda; Insecta; Coleoptera; Chrysomelidae.